This 1030-nucleotide ribosomal RNA is filed under the name Lactiplantibacillus plantarum. RNAcentral's name for it is "bacterial SSU rRNA". It matches the Rfam family "Bacterial small subunit ribosomal RNA", at positions 45 to 1040 of the family's 1533-position model. Lineage: Bacteria; Bacillati; Bacillota; Bacilli; Lactobacillales; Lactobacillaceae. The record is from RNAcentral.
UGCUAAUACAUGCAAGUCGAACGAACUCUGGUAUUGAUUGGUGCUUGCAUCAUGAUUUACAUUUGAGUGAGUGGCGAACUGGUGAGUAACACGUGGGAAACCUGCCCAGAAGCGGGGGAUAACACCUGGAAACAGAUGCUAAUACCGCAUAACAACUUGGACCGCAUGGUCCGAGUUUGAAAGAUGGCUUCGGCUAUCACUUUUGGAUGGUCCCGCGGCGUAUUAGCUAGAUGGUGGGGUAACGGCUCACCAUGGCAAUGAUACGUAGCCGACCUGAGAGGGUAAUCGGCCACAUUGGGACUGAGACACGGCCCAAACUCCUACGGGAGGCAGCAGUAGGGAAUCUUCCACAAUGGACGAAAGUCUGAUGGAGCAACGCCGCGUGAGUGAAGAAGGGUUUCGGCUCGUAAAACUCUGUUGUUAAAGAAGAACAUAUCUGAGAGUAACUGUUCAGGUAUUGACGGUAUUUAACCAGAAAGCCACGGCUAACUACGUGCCAGCAGCCGCGGUAAUACGUAGGUGGCAAGCGUUGUCCGGAUUUAUUGGGCGUAAAGCGAGCGCAGGCGGUUUUUUAAGUCUGAUGUGAAAGCCUUCGGCUCAACCGAAGAAGUGCAUCGGAAACUGGGAAACUUGAGUGCAGAAGAGGACAGUGGAACUCCAUGUGUAGCGGUGAAAUGCGUAGAUAUAUGGAAGAACACCAGUGGCGAAGGCGGCUGUCUGGUCUGUAACUGACGCUGAGGCUCGAAAGUAUGGGUAGCAAACAGGAUUAGAUACCCUGGUAGUCCAUACCGUAAACGAUGAAUGCUAAGUGUUGGAGGGUUUCCGCCCUUCAGUGCUGCAGCUAACGCAUUAAGCAUUCCGCCUGGGGAGUACGGCCGCAAGGCUGAAACUCAAAGGAAUUGACGGGGGCCCGCACAAGCGGUGGAGCAUGUGGUUUAAUUCGAAGCUACGCGAAGAACCUUACCAGGUCUUGACAUACUAUGCAAAUCUAAGAGAUUAGACGUUCCCUUCGGGGACAUGGAUACAGGUG